CAAAAUUCUGAGAAGAAAAAUGGAGCUCAGAAUUCUAAACCUAGCCAAACUAUCCAUCAAAUGAGCUGUUAACAGUGCUUGUUUCUGAAGAGGAGGCCUCGGCUGGAAUGGUUUCCAGCAGAAAUUGUCACCUGGUGAGAAGCAACAAUUACUUAACUACGAAUAUCAGGUGCUUAAUACAUGUUUGCUGACUGAACAAAUGGUUGUUAUCUUGGAGUCCGGAAAAAAGAUGGAAAAUAAAACAACAAAGGAGAGACCCCUUGGAUUUGCGUGUUACUCCCAGAACAACCUUAGAUGAUUUCCUGUGUGAAGAAUAAAGAGAUGAGCAGUGAAGAUGAGCAGUCUGAGUUUUCCUUAAAAUUUUAAUAAAUCAUAUUUGAGCCU
This is a non-coding RNA of Equus caballus (horse), 384 nucleotides long. Lineage: Eukaryota; Metazoa; Chordata; Mammalia; Perissodactyla; Equidae. The record is from RefSeq and is a predicted model, not a curated record.